GACGAACGCUGGCGGCGUGCUUAACACAUGCAAGUCACGGGGGUCCCGCAAGGGAUAACCGGCGAACGGGUGCGUAACACGUGAACAACCUGCCCUCGUGUGGGGGAUAGCCAUGCUAACGCGUGGGUAAUACCGCAUACGGUCCUUUGGGGGAGUCCCUGGGGGAAGAAAGCUCCGGCGCACGGGGAGGGGUUCGCGGCCUAUCAGCUAGUUGGGGG
RNAcentral lists this ribosomal RNA (218 nucleotides) under uncultured bacterium. Its description in RNAcentral is "partial 16S ribosomal RNA". It matches the Rfam family "Bacterial small subunit ribosomal RNA", at positions 28 to 255 of the family's 1533-position model. The record is from RNAcentral.